RNAcentral lists this ribosomal RNA (253 nucleotides) under uncultured bacterium. Its description in RNAcentral is "partial 16S ribosomal RNA". It matches the Rfam family "Bacterial small subunit ribosomal RNA", at positions 524 to 776 of the family's 1533-position model. The record is from RNAcentral.
GACGAACCGUGCGAGCGUUGUUCGGAAUCACUGGGCUUAAAGGGCGCGUAGGCGGGCGGUCAAGUCAGGGGUGAAAGCCCCCAGCUCAACUGGGGAAGUGCCUCUGAUACUGACCAUCUCGAGGGAGGUAGGGGCGUGCGGAACUUCCGGUGGAGCGGUGAAAUGCGUAGAUAUCGGAAGGAACGUCGGUGGCGAAAGCGGCGCGCUGGACCUCUUCUGACGCUGAGGCGCGAAAGCCAGGGGAGCAAACGGG